RNAcentral lists this ribosomal RNA (673 nucleotides) under uncultured bacterium. Its description in RNAcentral is "bacterial SSU rRNA". It matches the Rfam family "Bacterial small subunit ribosomal RNA", at positions 102 to 807 of the family's 1533-position model. The record is from RNAcentral.
ACGGCUGAGUAACGCGUAGGAACACACCCUGCAGUGAGGGAUAAGACACCGAAAGGUGUUCUAAUACCGCAUACGGUCUUCGGAUUAAAGCAUUUAUGCGCUGAAGGAGUGGCCUGCGUCAUAUUAGAUAGUUGGUGAGGUAAUGGCUUACCAAGUCGAUGAUGUGUAGCUGGUCUGAGAGGAUGAUCAGCCAGACUGGAACUGAGACACGGUCCAGACUCCUACGGGAGGCAGCAGUGAGGAAUAUUUCACAAUGAGCGAAGGCUUGAUGGAGCAAUGCCGCGUGCAGGAUGAAGGCCCUCGGGUUGUAAACUGCUUUUAUAAGAGAAGACUAUGACGGUAACUUAUGAAUAAGGGACGGCUAACUACGUGCCAGCAGCCGCGGUCAUACGUAGGUCCCGAGCGUUAUCCGGAGUGACUGGGCGUAAAGAGUUGCGUAGGCGGUCAAGUUAGCGAGUGAUGAAAACUAUCGGCUCAACCGAUAGCUUGUUGUUCGAACUGCUUGACUCGAGAGUAUCAGAUGUCGCUGGAAUUCCUAGUGUAGCAGUGAAAUGCGUAGAUAUUAGGAAGAACACCGAUGGCGUAUGCAGGCGACUGGGAUAUUUCUGACGCUAAGGCACGAAAGCGUGGGUAGCGAACCGGAUUAGAUACCCGGGUAGUCCACGCCGUAAAC